UGGGGAAUAUUGGACAAUGGGCGGAAGCCUGAUCCAGCAACGCCGCGUGAGGGAUGACGGCCUUCGGGUUGUAAACCUCUUUCAGUACCGACGAAGCGGAAGUGACGGUAGGUACAGAAGAAGCACCGGCCAACUACGUGCCAGCAGCCGCGGUAAUACGUAGGGUGCGAGCGUUGUCCGGAAUUAUUGGGCGUAAAGGGCUCGUAGGCGGUUUGUCGCGUCGGGAGUGAAAACACUGGGCUUAACUCAGUGCUUGCUUCCGAUACGGGCAGACUAGAGGCAUGCAGGGGAGAACGGAAUUCCUGGUGUAGCGGUGAAAUGCGCAGAUAUCAGGAGGAACACCGGUGGCGAAGGCGGUUCUCUGGGCAUGUCCUGACGCUGAGGAGCGAAAGUGUGGGGAGCGAACAGGAUUAGAUACCCUGGUAGUCCACACCGUAAACGUUGGGCGCUAGGUGUGGGGCCUAUUCCAUGGGUUCCGUGCCGCAGCUAACGCAUUAAGCGCCCCGCCUGGGGAGUACGGCCGCAAGCU
Molecule: ribosomal RNA, 529 nt
Filed under: uncultured bacterium
Lineage: Bacteria
Description: partial 16S ribosomal RNA
Rfam family: Bacterial small subunit ribosomal RNA
Source: RNAcentral